This 435-nucleotide long non-coding RNA is filed under the name Equus asinus (donkey). Its description in RNAcentral is "lncRNA (ENSEASG00005026621.1)". Lineage: Eukaryota; Metazoa; Chordata; Mammalia; Perissodactyla; Equidae. The record is from RNAcentral.
GUGCCACCCCCGGGCGCAGCCCGUGCGCAGACCCAUCACCCAUUGUGACCUCAGAGAAGCAGAGCCUGGGCAGGUGUGCCGCCCCCCGGGACCACAGGCCCAGCUCCAGGACCCCCCCGAUGAUCCUUUCCAGGAUCCCGCUCCUGCUUCCAGGACCCCCACCCGUCUCACACGGGCCCCUCUAACCUCGGGGCCUUCCCUGGCUCCGCUUGGCAUCCCCCUAAUUUUUACUCUCCAGCACUGCUCUACUGGUUGAAAGUGGCUUUGAGGAGCCCGAUUACUUGUGUGUCUCCCCCUGAGAAGUAGAUGUCACUGAAAAUGGGACCUCUGACAGCUCUUCAAAUGUGAAAAAAGAUUUCGAAGCAGCGAAUGGACAAUUUAUGUGCAAGUUUAUUUGUAAAACAGAUUUCAAGACAUACUUCAUCUUGGCUCCAC